RNAcentral lists this long non-coding RNA (2258 nucleotides) under Fragaria vesca (wild strawberry). RNAcentral's name for it is "long non-coding RNA (FVES_LNC002413)". Lineage: Eukaryota; Viridiplantae; Streptophyta; Magnoliopsida; Rosales; Rosaceae. The record is from RNAcentral.
GGCCGUCGAUUUGGGUAUGCAUAUAGAUGUGGAUCAGUUUGGACAGCGCCAGACUGGGUUUUUGGUCUGGCGCAAGGCCGGUGUCCAUAGGUCCGUCUCGUCGUCCCCGUCCUCAAGGUGAUCUUCGUUUUCGAUGGGAAUCUCCGGUGAGAGAGAAAAGGAGGAGAGAAGGCGAUUGGGUUUCCGGUCGAGUUCGUGAUUCCGGCCACGGCGGCGAGCGUGACCGGUAUUGGUAGCUUCCUCUCGUCCUCGUGGUCUUCCCUAUGUACUCAGUUUUUUCAGAAGAGGUCGGGAGAGAGAGAUUCGAAGUGGAGAACUUUUGGGAUUUUCCGGCGAGGGUUCGACGGAUUCCGACGACUUCUGUGUUCGACUCAGGUAUCAAUCUUCAUCCAGUCGUCGAGCUUUACGUUUAUGUAUAAUUGGAAUUGAGAUUGGUUGGGUGUUGAAGAAGGUGGAUUUUGGGCAGUGACCACCGUGGGUGACCACUGUUCACGGCGGCGGCGGUAGUUGUAGUUGUGGUUUCUGGGUUUGGUCUAUGUUUAGGAUGAAUAUUAACUAUUGAGUUAUAGUUGGAGUUGGAAGAAUCAUGAUUGUUGGAAGGUUGAAGUGUAUUGCUGGGAUUAAGAACAAGUGUUCCUAUCGCAAUUUGGUAUUGAUACUUGUAUAUUGAUUCCAUAAAUGGUGUCAUGAAACUUUGUUUUCAGAUUCGUCGAAGAGGAAUGGUGGAUUAGAUGACAAUUCAGAAAUGGUAUCAAGGGUAGAUAUUGGCCGGUGGAGGAGUUGAUUGUUAUAUUUGAUUAACUGAAAUGGAAGAAUUGGGUAUUUGGAAAGGCUAAGUUAUUUUGCUGGGUUGCUUAGGAAGUUUGAGAGCAGUACAAGACUUUAUAUGGAUUUGAAGUUUGGUAGUUUUAGUUACUGUGCUUGAAUUUCAAGUUGGAGAGGUGUGUUGACGAAUUGGGAAGUACGGCCAACUAUGAUGAUAUGAACUAAUGUAUAAUGGUGAUUGUUGGACUUUUGUGUUAUAGUGGAAGCUGCCGUAUAUGAAGACAUGUUCAUUGUGAAUAAGUUUACAAGUUACUUGUUAUGCGGGUGUAAAGGAGAAGACAAGAGUGAUCAUGAUUUAGAGAGGAAGUAAUUAAGAGGAUUUGGGUGUCCUUAGCAAAUUCUGAGGAUCUUUGAUCGUAUUUGGUUUGAAGUAAUUCGCUGACUUUCUUGGAAUAAGGUGAUACGUGGAUCGAAUGCAAGUAGCAGGAUUCCGAAAGCAGAAGGAUAAAGAUUUCAAAAUGCGUGUCGCAGUGUUACUAAUUUUAGCUAGCGUCGGAAGUAGCGUUUGGAAUCCAGGUAGGGUCUUUCUCGGGAACCUUUAUUUAUAUGGAUAAUUAGUUUACAAUUGAAAUUAAUGCUUGUGUGUCAUUGAGUGAUUAACUCUUGAUUGUUAUUGUUUUUGAUAAAAGUAUGUGUAAUCGGUGAUUUAUAUAAUUAAUGUUAUCGCUUUCUAUAAAAGCAUGUGUUGAAUGAUAUAUUAUGAGUAUUGAUAUUUGUUGCAUUCAUAAUGCAUUGUGAGGAAUUGUGAGAUUAGUGAGAUUGAUGAUUAUGGAGAGAUGAGAAUGAGAUCUAGAGAAUAGAUACAUUUUGUGUAGUUGAGUUUCCUCAUGGGGCAUCCAAGAUCUAUGAUUAGCCCACACGUGCACAUGUUUGGGAAAAGUAGGCCCUUUUGAUGACGGACAUCGAUAAAAAGAUCUUAUCGGGUUCCGGGUUGGGAAGACCAUAAGUAUAACAAGACGACUAACAAAAGAGGUACAUGUGGUGAGAUAUUACUAAUUUGUUAGGUCGUAUAUUUGAGACAUCUACACGGUAUGGGACGUGUAGGCUCAUAUGUCUUUGAUGUAUUGACUAAUAAGCCAGUAAUCGAGCGGAGGAAGUUCAUUUGCAUAUAUGCAUUGAAUUGUUAUUAUUUAUAUUUAAAGUGUUGUUUGUUAUUUGAUAACUUAAUUGGCCCUACUGAGCGUAAGCUCACCCCUAUAGAAUUUUGUUUAGGUUCCUAGGCAGACACGUCUUUCGAGAAGUCUAUCUGUGACGUUUAGUUAACUUGUACAAGAGUAGAAGAGUUACAGAAGAUUAGAAGCCACAAGACCUAUUUUGUUUUUGUAAUUGUUUUGUUAUUUGUAAACGUUUUAUUUUUUUUAUUUCAGAAAAAGUAUUUGAAAUUGUUUUAUUUUCUUUUACUUUUUUUGCUCACGCCUCGGAUUCGGUGUCAG